UACGGAGGGAGCUAGCGUUGUUCGGAAUUACUGGGCGUAAAGCGCGCGUAGGCGGCUUCGCAAGUCAGAGGUGAAAGCCCGGGGCUCAACCCUGGAACUGCCUUUGAGACUGCGUCGCUAGAAUCCGGGAGAGGUGAGUGGAAUUCCGAGUGUAGAGGUGAAAUUCGUAGAUAUUCGGAAGAACACCAGUGGCGAAGGCGGCUCACUGGACCGGUAUUGACGCUGAGGUGCGAAAGCGUGGGGAGCAAACAGG
RNAcentral lists this ribosomal RNA (253 nucleotides) under uncultured bacterium. RNAcentral's name for it is "partial 16S ribosomal RNA". It matches the Rfam family "Bacterial small subunit ribosomal RNA", at positions 524 to 776 of the family's 1533-position model. The record is from RNAcentral.